This 448-nucleotide ribosomal RNA is filed under the name uncultured bacterium. RNAcentral describes it as "SSU rRNA". It matches the Rfam family "Bacterial small subunit ribosomal RNA", at positions 26 to 518 of the family's 1533-position model. The record is from RNAcentral.
AGAGCGAACGCUGGCGGCAGGCUUAACACAUGCAAGUCGAGCGGGCGUAGCAAUACGUCAGCGGCAGACGGGUGAGUAACGCGUGGGAACAUACCUUUUGGUUCGGAACAACCCAGGGAAACUUGGGCUAAUACCGGAUAAGCCCUUACGGGGAAAGAUUUAUCGCCGAAAGAUUGGCCCGCGUCUGAUUAGCUAGUUGGUGAGGUAAUGGCUCACCAAGGCGACGAUCAGUAGCUGGUCUGAGAGGAUGAUCAGCCACAUUGGGACUGAGACACGGCCCAAACUCCUACGGGAGGCAGCAGUGGGGAAUAUUGGACAAUGGGCGCAAGCCUGAUCCAGCCAUGCCGCGUGAGUGAUGAAGGCCCUAGGGUUGUAAAGCUCUUUUGUGCGGGAAGAUAAUGACGGUACCGCAAGAAUAAGCCCCGGCUAACUUCGUGCCAGCAGCCGC